Molecule: unclassified non-coding RNA, 296 nt
Filed under: uncultured fungus
Lineage: Eukaryota; Fungi
Description: partial contains small subunit ribosomal RNA, internal transcribed spacer 1, and 5.8S ribosomal RNA
Rfam family: Eukaryotic small subunit ribosomal RNA (bases 1-73)
Source: RNAcentral
GCAAACUUGGUCAUUUAGAGGAAGUAAAAGUCGUAACAAGGUUUCCGUAGGUGAACCUGCGGAAGGAUCAUUAUUGAGUUUUGGGUCGAUCGAAUUCGUUCGGUUGUGCUCACAAUCUCCCAACCCUUUGUUUAAUUAAAACUUUUUGUUGCUUUGGUCAAUUGAUUUCGAUCAUUGACCAAUAGCCAAUUUUAAUUCUUCAAUUUUUUAACCAUGAAGUCUGAAUUUUUAAUUAAAAUUUAAUUAAAACUUUCAACAACGGAUCUCUUGGUUCUGGCAUCGAUGAAGAACGCAGC